UACAGAGGGUGCAAGCGUUGUUCGGAAUUAUUGGGCGUAAAGCGCGUGUAGGCGGCUUUGCAAGUCGGGUGUGAAAUCUCGGAGCUUAACUCCGAAACUGCAUUCGAUACUGCCGUGCUUGAGGACUGGAGAGGAGACUGGAAUUUACGGUGUAGCGGUGAAAUGCGUAGAUAUCGUAAGGAAGACCAGUGGCGAAGGCGGGUCUCUGGACAGUUCCUGACGCUGAGGCACGAAGGUCAGGGGAGCAAACGGG
Molecule: ribosomal RNA, 253 nt
Filed under: uncultured bacterium
Lineage: Bacteria
Description: partial 16S ribosomal RNA
Rfam family: Bacterial small subunit ribosomal RNA
Source: RNAcentral